GACGAACGCUGGCGGCGUGCUUAACACAUGCAAGUCGAACGGAAAGGCCCUGCUUUUGUGGGGUUCUCGUGUGGCGAACGGGGGAGUAACACGUGUGUAACCUGCCCUUGACUUUGGGAUAACUCCACGAAACUCGGGCUAUUACCGGGUAGGAUCUCUUGCUGCGCGUUGUUGGUUGGAAAGAUUCGGCGGUGUGGGAUGGACUGGCGGCUUAUCCGCUUGUUGGUGUGGUAGUGGCUUUCCAGGCCUUUGACGGAUAGCCGGCAUGAGAGGGUUACCGGCGUCAUGGGGACUGAGAGACGGCGCAGACUCGUACGGGAGGCAGCAGGGGGGAAUAUGGCACAACGGGCGGAAGCCUGAUGUAGCAAUGCCGCGUGCGGGAUGACGGGUUUCGGGGUGUAAACCGCUGUCGCCUGUGACGAAGCGUGAGUGACGGUAAUGGGUAAAGAAGCACCGGCUAACUACGUG
RNAcentral lists this ribosomal RNA (468 nucleotides) under uncultured bacterium. RNAcentral's name for it is "partial 16S ribosomal RNA". It matches the Rfam family "Bacterial small subunit ribosomal RNA", at positions 28 to 507 of the family's 1533-position model. The record is from RNAcentral.